AUGAAGUCACAAACAAAUGUCCUCAUGUCCCUGCUGCUCUGGGUGUCUGGUGCCUGUGCAGAUAUCGUAAUGACCCAGUCUCCAUCAUCCAUUGCUGUGUCAACAGGAGAGAAAGUCACCAUCAGCUGCAAGUCCAGUCAGAGUCUUUUAUACAGUAAAGAUCAAAAGAACUACUUGAGCUGGUACCAGCAGAAGCCAGGGCAGUCUCCUAAACUGCUAAUCUACUUUGAAUCCACUCGACACACUGGGGUCCCUGAUCGCUUCACAGGCAGUGGAUCUGAGACAGAUUUCACUCUCACGAUCAGCAGUGUCCAGGCUGAAGAUCUGGCAGACUAUUACUGUAUGCAGCAUUACAGUUAUCCUCCCACAGUGCUUCAGCCUCCAACAAACACUUCUGAGACUCUCAACAGCUGCCUGCACCACAGGCUGUCCUGCACCCGCACACUUCUCCCUUCUGCCAGUGAGCCUCAAACUCUGAUCAAAAUAUUUUCAGACCUGGGCAAGAUAUACGGUUUAAAUGUCUCUUAA
Molecule: non-coding RNA, 528 nt
Organism: Microtus oregoni (creeping vole)
Lineage: Eukaryota; Metazoa; Chordata; Mammalia; Rodentia; Cricetidae
Source: the annotation of a RefSeq genome assembly